UACGUAGGGGGCUAGCGUUGUCCGGAAUCAUUGGGCGUAAAGAGCGUGUAGGCGGCCCGGUAAGUCCGCUGUAAAAGUCAAAGGCUCAACCUUUGAAUGUCAGUGGAUACUGCCGGGCUAGAGUCCGGAAGAGGCGAGUGGAACUCCUGGUGUAGCGGUGGAAUGCGCAGAUAUCAGGAGGAACACCAAUGGCGAAGGCAGCUCACUGGGACGGUAUUGACGCUGAGACGCGAAGGCGUGGGGAGCAAACAGG
RNAcentral lists this ribosomal RNA (253 nucleotides) under uncultured bacterium. RNAcentral describes it as "partial 16S ribosomal RNA". It matches the Rfam family "Bacterial small subunit ribosomal RNA", at positions 524 to 776 of the family's 1533-position model. The record is from RNAcentral.